GGAGCUGUGGCUCAGUGGUAGAGCGCUUGCCUAGCAUGAAUGAGGCCCUGGGUUUGAUCCUCAGCACCA
RNAcentral lists this transfer RNA (69 nucleotides) under Ictidomys tridecemlineatus (thirteen-lined ground squirrel). RNAcentral's name for it is "Spermophilus tridecemlineatus (thirteen-lined ground squirrel) tRNA". It matches the Rfam family "tRNA". Rfam says of the family: Transfer RNA (tRNA) molecules are approximately 80 nucleotides in length. Lineage: Eukaryota; Metazoa; Chordata; Mammalia; Rodentia; Sciuridae. The record is from Rfam by way of RNAcentral.